UACGGGAGGCAGCAGUAGGGAAUCUUCCGCAAUGGACGAAAGUCUGACGGAGCAACGCCGCGUGAGUGAUGAAGGUUUUCGGAUCGUAAAACUCUGUUAUCAGGGAAGAACAAGUAUCGGAGUAACUGCCGGUACCUUGAAAGUACCUGACCAGAAAGCCACGGCUAACUACGUGCCAGCAGCCGCCCU
RNAcentral lists this ribosomal RNA (189 nucleotides) under uncultured bacterium. Its description in RNAcentral is "partial 16S ribosomal RNA". It matches the Rfam family "Bacterial small subunit ribosomal RNA", at positions 340 to 521 of the family's 1533-position model. The record is from RNAcentral.